UACGUAGGGGGCAAGCGUUGUCCGGAAUCAUUGGGCGUAAAGAGCGUGUAGGUGGCUCGGUAAGUCCGCUGUGAAAGUCCAGGGCUCAACCCUGGAAAGCCGGUGGAAACUGUCGAGCUCGAGUCCGGAAGAGGCGAGUGGAAUUCCUGGUGUAGCGGUGAAAUGCGCAGAUAUCAGGUGGAACACCAAUGGCGAAGGCAGCUCGCUGGGACGGUACUGACACUGAGACGCGAAAGCGUGGGGAGCAAACAGG
RNAcentral lists this ribosomal RNA (253 nucleotides) under uncultured bacterium. RNAcentral's name for it is "partial 16S ribosomal RNA". It matches the Rfam family "Bacterial small subunit ribosomal RNA", at positions 524 to 776 of the family's 1533-position model. The record is from RNAcentral.